GCGACCGUAGGUUAGGCGGG
Molecule: ribosomal RNA, 20 nt
Filed under: Calamus calospathus
Lineage: Eukaryota; Viridiplantae; Streptophyta; Magnoliopsida; Arecales; Arecaceae
Description: partial 26S ribosomal RNA
Source: RNAcentral